RNAcentral lists this ribosomal RNA (1621 nucleotides) under Gymnurahemecus bulbosus. Its description in RNAcentral is "partial 28S large subunit ribosomal RNA". It matches the Rfam family "Eukaryotic large subunit ribosomal RNA", at positions 76 to 1276 of the family's 3401-position model. Lineage: Eukaryota; Metazoa; Platyhelminthes; Trematoda; Strigeidida; Aporocotylidae. The record is from RNAcentral.
UCCCCUAGUAACUGCGAGUGAAGAGGGAAAAGCCCAGCACCGAAGCCUGUAGUCAAUUGAUUAUUAGGCAAUGUGGUGUUUAGGUGUGUUCAUUGCGUACUGCUUUACCCUAAGUCCAAUUACGAAUGUGGCAAUUGGAUUAGCCCAGAGAGGGUGUAAGGCCCGUGUGGGUAGAGCUCAGACAUGACAGUAUAAAAGCGCUGAACACACCUUGGAGUCGGGUUGUUUGUGAAUGCAGCCCAAAGUAGGUGGUAAACUCCAUCUAAGGCUAAAUACUAACACGAGUCCGAUAGCGAACAAGUACCGUGAGGGAAAGUUGAAAAGUACUUUGAAGAGAGGGUAAAUAGUGCGUGAAACCGCUCAAAGGUAAACGGGUGGAGUUGAACUGGAAGCCCAGAGAAUUCAGCUGAUAAGUAUGCCGUGUUGGCGUUGUCAUUGGAGUCUGCUCAGUGGCAGGUCUCUGCUCCUUGUGGGUGGAGAUGCGUUAUACACCUAACAAGUGUUGCGUGCUCGAAUGGCUUAGUGGGUCAGCUUGUCAGUGCACUUUCUUUGGGUGUUCACCACGACCGGCAUUGCUGUCGGUCUGCUAUGGUUAAACCGAUUGAGUCGGGUACUUGUACCAGGUUGAAUCGGGAUGGCAGGUGGCUCAUUUGUUCUUAUUGCUUUCGGGUGGUAAUAGCUUGUGAGUUUAAUCAGCUGACUGUAGUGGAUCUGUGCAGUAUGUCGGAGAUGACGGGAGCCAGUUGGGGCAUUGUGGUUGGUUAGAGUGUUCAGGUUUGAUUGGCGUUACUUGCUUCAUUGUGGGUGCGUUGAUAGCUUGGAUAUUUUAAUUGAUGGCAGUGUUUUCUACUGGAGCCAAGAGUCUGUGGUGUUGCGGUAGACUAUCCACCUGACCCGUCUUGAAACACGGACCAAGGAGUUUAACAUGUAUGCGAGUCAUUGGGCAUUACGAAACCCACAGGCGCAGUUAAAGUAAAGGCUGAUAUAUUCCCAGUCAGUCAGGGUGAGAUCUUGUUACUUUGAAGUAUUUUGUUAUUUGUUCUCUUCUUCUUUACGGAGGGGAGGGGGGCGAAUGAUAGGAUAUGGACAGUGCAGGCGCAUCACCGGCCCGUCUAACAAUGUGUCUGCCAUUGGGACGGAGCUUGAGCAUACAUGUUGAGACCCGAAAGAUGGUGAGCUAUGCUUGCGCAGGUUGAAGCCAGAGGAAACUCUGGUGGAGGACCGCAGCGAUUCUGACGUGCAAAUCGAUCGUCUAACGUGAGUAUAGGGGCGAAAGACUAAUCGAACCAUCUAGUAGCUGGUUCCCUCUGAAGUUUCCCUCAGGAUAGCUGGCGUUCGCUAACAGUUUUAUCCGGUAAAGCGAAUGACUAGAGGUAUUGGGGAUAAAACAUCCUCAACCUAUUAUCAAACUUUAAAUGGGUGAGAAGUACAGCUCGCUUAAAUGGAGCGGAGCAUUGAAUGUGAGUGCCAAGUGGGCCAUUUUUGGUAAGCAGAACUGGCGCUGUGGGAUGAACCAAACGUUCGGUUAAGGUGCCUAAUGUGACGCUCAUGAGAUCCCACAAAAGGUGUUAGUUGGUCCAGACAGCAGGACGGUGGCCAUGGAAGUUGGAAUCCGCUAAGG